UGAGGGAAAGUUGCAAAGAACUUUGAAGAGAGAGUUCAAGAGUACGUGAAACUGCUCGGAGGCAAACGGGUGGGGCCUCGAAAUCCGUGCCGCGAGGGCAUUCAGUCGACGGGAGGGAGGACCGACCGCGGUCGCCGGGGAUUUCCGUCCCGGCGCGCGAGACGGUUCCGAGCCCCGCCGACGCAGUUGCCACUCGCGCAGUGGACGCCGCAGCCGGUUCGGCAWUUCAAGUCCGGUCUUAGGCCGGGGGAAAGCAGGCGAUCCGUCGCCGUAACCCCGGAGCGUAGACGCGGCGCCUGACCGAGGCAUGGUCCUCCUCCCUCUGAUGGGCGGGACCGGCGACCCUGGUCACGAUCCGCGACGGUAUCGACCGCGAGUGUCGACCCGGCGCGGGACCGAUCGGAGGGGUCUCUCGGUACCCGCGGGGGAGCGAGUGGCUGGCGGCGAGUAGGUCGGUAGCCCACCCGACCCGUCUUGAAACACGGACCAAGGAGUCUGACGCGUGCGCGAGUCGUCGGGUCUUGAACAGGCCCGGGGGCGYAAUYAACAUAAUCCGGGUACCAUACCUUGGCCCGGUUGACCGCGAUCCUCCSGCCGAGUGCSGGGGGCGCAGCGGCGGGCUGUCCGUGUCUCUAGGAACACCAGGACGGACCCAGAGCGCGCGUGUUGGGACCCGAAAGAUGGUGAACUAUGCCCGGGCAGGUUGAAGCUGGAGGAAACUCUGGUGGAGGGCCGCCSCGGUUCURACGUGCAAAUCGAUCGUCUGACCUCGG
RNAcentral lists this ribosomal RNA (773 nucleotides) under Wanniyala sp. SL55. RNAcentral describes it as "partial 28S ribosomal RNA". Lineage: Eukaryota; Metazoa; Arthropoda; Arachnida; Araneae; Pholcidae. The record is from RNAcentral.